RNAcentral lists this ribosomal RNA (467 nucleotides) under uncultured bacterium. Its description in RNAcentral is "partial 16S ribosomal RNA". It matches the Rfam family "Bacterial small subunit ribosomal RNA", at positions 28 to 507 of the family's 1533-position model. The record is from RNAcentral.
GACGAACGCUGGCGGCGUGCUUAACACAUGCAAGUCGAACGGAAAGGCCCUGCUUUUGUGGGGCGCUCGAGUGGCGAACGGGUGAGUAACACGUGAGUAACCUGCCCUUGACUUUGGGAUAACUUCAGGAAACUGGGGCUAAUACCGGAUAGGAGCUCCUGCUGCAUGGUGGGGGUUGGAAAGUUUCGGCGGUUGGGGAUGGACUCGCGGCUUAUCAGCUUGUUGGUGGGGUAGUGGCUUACCAAGGCUUUGACGGGUAGCCGGCCUGAGAGGGUGACCGGCCACAUUGGGACUGAGAUACGGCCCAGACUCCUACGGGAGGCAGCAGUGGGGAAUAUUGCACAAUGGGCGGAAGCCUGAUGCAGCAACGCCGCGUGCGGGAUGACGGCCUUGGGUUGUAAACCGCUUUCGCCUGUGACGAAGCGUGAGUGACGGUAAUGGGUAAAGAAGCACCGGCUAACUACGUG